Piliocolobus tephrosceles (Ugandan red Colobus) is the source of this 1951-nucleotide long non-coding RNA. Lineage: Eukaryota; Metazoa; Chordata; Mammalia; Primates; Cercopithecidae. The record is from Ensembl.
GUCUGUUCUGUGGAUUUUCCUUUGAACUAGCAUUCGCUUACCAGUUCUCUCAAUUAAUGAGCUAAAUACAAUCUUUGACAUGUGUUUAUUUUAUAUUUGUAUGAGAGUCAUGAUUUUAUCUUUUUGGAAAUUUGCUCUUUAACAAAUUUGGAAAUAUACCUUAUGCUUGAAUGUGACCUAUUUUAUCAAAGUGUAUCUUUGGUGAAGUCAUUUUAGAGCUCGGUACUUGGUGUUUUUGAGUUGGUUUGCUCAUCUGUGAUGACUGAGUGAACUAAUACCUGGCAAGUAUAAAGGCAUGUUGGUAAAGGAGACGUAGAAGAAAUAGAUUAGAAGGCCAGGAUGAGUAAAAAUGUGGGAGGAUACUGGAUGUUAAACUCGAAAAAACUGGGAGGAGAUGUUGCCUUUGAAGAGGAUCUGAGAUCUGAUACCACAAAUGCCUUAAUGUGGCUGGCAUUCAUGAGAAGGUAUGCAACUAUUGAGGAAAUACGAAGAACUCAGAAUGUCAAGAGAGAAGAGGCACAACUGUUGGUAUGCCCAUUAUGUCCGGUGGAAACUUUCACUCUCAGAUGUGGAGGCCAUCCAUCUUCAUGACCACACAGUUCUGAGUGGACCUCCUUGAUGGUGCCUGAGUGGAUCCUUGGAAAUCAGCUAUAUCCUAAUAGCUGACCACAAGGCAGCAGUCUGCCUAGGAGGCAUUGGACCAGCGUUAUAAGUAGUGUGCCACACAGUGUCCAGCCAUGAACAGAAUAGCAAUGCUCCAUCUUUGCUAGAGGACCACUUGGAGAGAAGCGUAUUAUCCUUAGCAAUUAAGUACAGACACAAAGAGCCGGUCCCCAGUGGGCUCCAGGACAAGUUGGAAAAGCCUUUGCUGCAGACAGAACCAGCCGCAUUUGAAAACCUGUCUUGCUAAAUCGAGUGCACUUUGGACCUUCCUUUUAACUUCAGAGUUACCUCUCUAGAUGCUGGUCAGUCCGACAAGGUUUAUUUAGUGACUCGAGGCUGCGAAGAUGAAUAUCCUCACGCUGAGUUAUUUACAUAAAGCUAAGUAGCAAAGCCUGUGAUGUUAUAAUCAGGUACCUAUCUACAGGACAGUUUUGAAUGACACAGGGUAUGAAAAAUGUUUACUCUAGUUUACACUAUUUUUGAAUAUUGAUUAGUCUCUAUGGUGAAAACAUUAAUACUUUUUAAUGACCUAUAUGAUAAAACAUGUAUUUGAUUGGCUUCUUAUGGCGUUACUCUUACAAAAAGCUGGGAUGUCGUCAUGUGCAUUCUCUGCCUUUGAGCCUCUGAUGAUUCCAGUCAUCUCAGAAAGAUAGGGCUCUGCCCUCUUGCUUCUGAUUUGCUGGCAAUAGACCUUCAGCUAAUAGUAUAUCUGCUCAGCUGAAGAUGGAGUGCUAAUCUAGGGGAACUCGAAAUGGCUCUGUCAUUUUCUAGAUGACAGCUCCUAUUUUCCACUGGCUUCUGGCACAUGCACUAUCAUCCAUCUAUGUCAAGAAGACACUUGCUUAUCUGGUUGCUAGAAAUGCUUUUGCUAAAAACAUGUAACUGCAGUUCAUCAGUCUUGUGAGGAAGUUGUUGAUUUUGCUAAACUAAGUUUAAACUCCUCUGUGGUUUUCUGAUAUGACAUCUAUUUUUAUUAGAUAUUGUCAUGAUUAUUUAUAGUGUCUUAGAAGCAUACUAGAAUUUUUUUUUUUUUUUUUUUUAAUAGCAAGUUAAUCAGCUGAUUGAAUGGUGCAAAACAAAAGUUUCAGGACCAGGUAUGCCCAUAUCAAAUUUCAUUCUUCAUUUUUAGGCAACCCUUAAUUAAGAAAUUACUGGCUAAAGAAGAGAUAGAAAUUGAAUUAGGACCAUAAAAAAUCAAAAUUCAAUGCAAAUAAUGUAUGCCUCACAACAAACGAUGGCAAGUAUUUAAAAAAAUAAAACCAAUCAUCUGGUUAUAACUUAUGAAAUA